Coccinella septempunctata (seven-spotted ladybird) is the source of this 996-nucleotide long non-coding RNA. RefSeq lists it as uncharacterized. NCBI's taxonomy places the organism in Eukaryota, Metazoa, Arthropoda, Insecta, Coleoptera, Coccinellidae. The transcript has 3 exons. The record is from RefSeq and is a predicted model, not a curated record.
UUGACAGACCGUGAAAAAAUUGAUGCAAAUUUUUAAGGUUUAUUCAAUUAUUAUUGAAAUUAAAGGAUAUAUCAUAGGAUAUAUUUACUACAUUUCUCUCUGUACGAUGGCACUUCGAAGCUCACAUCACAAUUGAAUUUUUUCCCAUAAUCGGAAAGUUAGGUUAAUAUUGAAUUUCCAGAUAUGAAAAACAGUUCUCGGACGUGAAUCUGUAUCAAAAUCGGAUGUAUUAACAGAUUGUUUAUUUUGUCACUAAUAAUACUUAUUUUUCAGGCACAUAUAAAUUCAUUAUAUCAAGAAAUGUAUGAAAUUCAUAAAUGUCAAAUAUCAUCUAUCGGAAAGUCUCAAUUUAAAUAAAAAAAGCUUCUUCAGGGGUGAGCUUCUAAGCAAUUGGUUCAGAAGAGUUUCUAUUUGAAGUAUAUGAUCCAUGAGUCAAGGUUACAGAAUGUACUUCAGAUUAAAAUACAUGCAAACUCACAGAAUGAGAAACAUCCUUGAUCUUGGUGUAUGAACAUAAGAAUUUCUAGAUAACAAACGGUUCUUGGGGGCAUAUAUAAAUUUAUCAGAUCAAGAAAUGUAUAAUAUCAUCUCUCGGACGGUGUUAUUUGGUAAAAAAAAAUGUUCUUCAGAGUAAGUUUCUUGAGCAGUUCGUUCAGGAGAGUUUUUAUGUGAAGCAAAUGAUCUAUUUCGAUUGUUUUCAACUGACCACAGCAGAUUUCUGACAACUUUCAAGCAAUUGGGUAGUGUACGGAGAUGAUUUUCUUAGGCUUGAUUUAUGGAAAAAUAUGUUUUGAGAUAAGUUAUUCAGUUGGAAUGAUAUAAUGAUUAUUGAAACACAAUCUAUGAAUGGAAGGAAAAAUGUUUUCGACUAACUUAUUGGAGUGGAAUGAUACAAUGAUUAUUGGAAUACAAUGGCAGGGUGUGUUUUUUGCGUUAAAAUUCUACUUUUAUAGACUUUUGUCCAGUUAUUCUCAUUUCAGGUUAGUUUUUUGUUUC